RNAcentral lists this ribosomal RNA (200 nucleotides) under uncultured bacterium. RNAcentral's name for it is "partial 16S ribosomal RNA". It matches the Rfam family "Bacterial small subunit ribosomal RNA", at positions 8 to 209 of the family's 1533-position model. The record is from RNAcentral.
AGAGUUUUUGAUCCUGGCUCAGAUUUGAACGCUGGCGGCAUGCCUUUACACAUGCAAGUCGAACGGCAGCACGGGUGCUUUGCACCUGGUGGCGAGUGGCGAACGGGUGAGUAAUACAUCGGAACGUGUCCUGUAGUGGGGGAUAGCCCGGCGAAAGCCGGAUUUAAUACCGCAUACGAUCUACGGAUGAAAGCGGGGGA